Molecule: transfer RNA, 73 nt
Filed under: Allomicrovenator marinus
Lineage: Bacteria; Deltaproteobacteria; Bradymonadales; Allomicrovenatoraceae
Description: Microvenator marinus tRNA
Rfam family: tRNA
About the family: Transfer RNA (tRNA) molecules are approximately 80 nucleotides in length. Their secondary structure includes four short double-helical elements and three loops (D, anti-codon, and T loops). Further hydrogen bonds mediate the characteristic L-shaped molecular structure. tRNAs have two regions of fundamental functional importance: the anti-codon, which is responsible for specific mRNA codon recognition, and the 3' end, to which the tRNAs corresponding amino acid is attached (by aminoacyl-tRNA synthetases). tRNAs cope with the degeneracy of the genetic code in two manners: having more than one tRNA (with a specific anti-codon) for a particular amino acid; and 'wobble' base-pairing, i.e. permitting non-standard base-pairing at the 3rd anti-codon position.
Source: Rfam by way of RNAcentral
GCGCAGGUAGCUCAGUAGGUAGAGCACGGCCCUGAAAAGGCCGGUGUCGGCGGUUCGAGCCCGCCCCUGCGCA